This is a long non-coding RNA of Diospyros lotus (date-plum), 2169 nucleotides long. RefSeq lists it as uncharacterized. The transcript is spliced from 5 exons. The record is from RefSeq and is a predicted model, not a curated record. Lineage: Eukaryota; Viridiplantae; Streptophyta; Magnoliopsida; Ericales; Ebenaceae.
CCCAACGCUAGCAGCGAGAUUUUGGAAAAUGUGAUGGAGUAUAGUCUAUAGAAAGAGGCACAUCAAGAGGCUGAAGAGUCUGCAGAUCGACCGGCACAGAACGACCUCGAUGCUUUCGAUUUCGAAUUUGUCAGAGUUGCUUCGCUGCUCUGAUCGAGCUCAUUAUGAGGGACUCCAGUUUGGGAACUGAGAUUUAACCGUGGCAGCAAUGCCUGAAACGUGCGGGCAUGACAUGGAAGUUCCCGAGAGCAAAUAGAAGAGUGGAGUGCCUUUUCCCUUGAUAGCAUGUUCUGUGUCAUUGCCAGGCCAUGCUGCAAGAAUGUCCACUCCUGGCGCUGCAAUAUCAGGCUGCCAAAAAAGCACAACACUGGAAUGUCAAUUUAACGACCAGUUCAGCUUUAAAACACAAAGCUAAGAGGGAGGGUUAAGAUGAUUUGCAUGCCUUGAGAAUACGCUUUGUGCUGAAUGAAGGACCUCUGGAUGAGGAGGCCACCUUGGGAGCUGGCUUAUAAUUUGUCAAAGACACUGUUGGAAGAAUUGUCCCAACUGGGUACCUUCAGAAAUUUGAAAGAGCUUAUCAGGGACAAGAACAGACUGAAAAUCACGGUCGAUGGUGGUGGCAGCAACAGUCAGAAUCCAGGGGUCAACAUUUGCAACUGUCUGGGGUGUGGGGUCGCUGUUCCCAGCAGAGCAGACCACAGUAAUGCCCUUCUCAACUGCGUGGAAUGCUCCGAUGGCUAUAGGAUCGGAUGAGAAAUCAGGUGUCAUAUCAUCUGACGAUCCCAGUGAAACUGAUAAUACAUCAACCACCCCAUCAGCUAUUGCAUCAUCAAAUGCUGCCAGGAUAGCAGAGCCACUGCAGCCAGUGGGUUUGCAGACACUGUAGAUAGCAAUCCUUGAGGUGGGGGAUCCGCCUUUGGCUGUGCCCAAUGCUAGGCCAUAGUAUGAUGCUCCAGGGACUGGGCUUCCACCUGUUAUCGAUGCAACAUGAGUGCCGUGGCCAACCUUAUCCCUCGGUGUACGAGUUCUGGGAUCGUUGUCUUCAGGAUCAUUGUAGUAUCUUGCUCCGAUGAGUUUCCUGAUACAAAAUGGAACAUCCAACAUGGCUGAGGUGAAUCACGAUCUGAAGGGGAAAACGAGAAUUUGAUCCCUGAGAGGAGUCAGCAUCCGAACGAGCAGUGGAAUCGAUUUCUAGAUCAGUUUAAUAUCUCAGGAAGUCCCAUUAUCAGGUCGUGUGGAGAUCCAAGACUGGAUCGGGGAACACUGAGACAACUUCUGGUCUUCGUGCUAUUGAAUCUGCCUCCUCCUUGGUCAAUCGAACAGCAAAUCCAGAGAAACCAUGUUUGUAGUAGUGCUCAGGGGCGGAUGUUGACGAUGGAGGAGCCGGACGAUAGAGACGCCGACGAUGGAGGCGGCCGACGAAGCUGAUGUCCAACGCAGAGAUGGGUCUGGAACAUAAUAUAUAUCUAUAUAUAUAUAUAUAUGAAGCUGUAUGUAUACAUAAUAUAUAUGUAGGAAACUGAUACAUAUAUAUUAUGUAUAUAUCUGUAUGUAUAUAUAUAUGUAUACAGGCUGAAGAGGCGGCGACAGCAAUUGGAGGCAGUGGUGGAUCUUGGUGGAAGAGUGGGGAUUGAAUCAGGGAAGAACAGAGAAUGGAUUGAAUGGGAGAAGAAUUGAUGUAGGAAGCAAAAUCAGAGAAGAAACCAAGCCGUCGCAAUUGAAGAAGCAGGGACGCCAACAACAAAGAGGGGCGGUGACCAAAGGCGAACGACUAGAAGCGCGAAGGAGCAGAGAAGGCGGCGGUCGCAACAGAGACAGCGAUGGCUGCAACGACGAUGGGUCUUGGUGGAAGAGAAGGAUAGAAGAUGAGACCACGGCAGCAGGAGGGAGAGAGAGGAAAAGAUAGAUCCAUUUCUUUUUUACUGCUUAAUGUAAUUUUGAUUUAUUAGAAUACCACUGCUUACUGUAAUUUUAAUUUAUUAGAAUGCCAAUAUUUGAGAAAGCAAGAAAAUAGCAAGCAACCAAAAUAUUAGCAUUUAAAAAAAAUUAAAAUUACAGUAAGGAAGCAAGAAAAUAUUUAACAACAAAAAGGAAAACAUUAAGCAGUAUUUAACAACAAAAAAGAAAAUAGUAAAAAUAUGCAACAACAAGAAAAAAAAAUAAUAAGUA